GAUGAACGCUGGCGGCGUGCCUAAUACAUGCAAGUCGAGCGAACAGAUGAGGAGCUUGCUCCUCUGACGUUAGCGGCGGACGGGUGAGUAACACGUGGAUAACCUACCUAUAAGACUGGGAUAACUUCGGGAAACCGGAGCUAAUACCGGAUAAUAUAUUGAACCGCAUGGUUCAAGAGUGAAAGACGGUUUUGCUGUCACUUAUAGAUGGUUCCGCGCCGCAUUAGCUAGUUGGUAAGGUAACGGCUUACCAAGGCAACGAUGCGUAGCCGACCUGAGAGGGUGAUCGGCCACACUGGAACUGAGACACGGUCCAGACUCCUACGGGAGGCAGCAGUAGGGAAUCUUCCGCAAUGGGCGAAAGCCUGACGGAGCAACGCCGCGUGAGUGAUGAAGGUCUUCGGAUCGUAAAACUCUGUUAUUAGGGAAGAACAAAUGUGUAAGUAACUAUGCACGUCUUGACGGUACCUAAUCAGAAAGCCACGGCUAACUACGUG
Molecule: ribosomal RNA, 497 nt
Filed under: uncultured bacterium
Lineage: Bacteria
Description: partial 16S ribosomal RNA
Rfam family: Bacterial small subunit ribosomal RNA
Source: RNAcentral